RNAcentral lists this non-coding RNA (216 nucleotides) under Thermotalea metallivorans. RNAcentral describes it as "T-box sequence". It matches the Rfam family "T-box leader". From Rfam's summary of the family: Uncharged tRNA acts as the effector for transcription antitermination of genes in the T-box leader family. T-boxes are found upstream of many aminoacyl-tRNA synthetase genes and some amino acid biosynthetic genes usually in Gram-positive bacteria. The anticodon of a specific tRNA base pairs to a specifier sequence within the T-box motif, and the NCCA acceptor tail of the tRNA base pairs to a conserved bulge in the T-box antiterminator hairpin. Lineage: Bacteria; Bacillati; Bacillota; Clostridia; Peptostreptococcales; Thermotaleaceae. The record is from RNAcentral.
ACGUUGUCGAUGAUGAGGAGAGUAAAUCUUAGCAAUGUAUGGCAGCGAGCCGGAGUUGGUGGAAGUCCGGCAUACGGCUAUGAUUGAAGCGCACCUCUGAGAUUUUUGCUGAAGGUGCCAGUAGGCAAAACGGAUUCCCUCCGUUAUAGGGGAGCAGAGUGGGUACAAUUUGUACCAAUAAGAGUGGUAACACGGGAUAUGACUCUCGUCUCUUGC